Molecule: small nuclear RNA, 105 nt
Organism: Suncus etruscus (white-toothed pygmy shrew)
Lineage: Eukaryota; Metazoa; Chordata; Mammalia; Eulipotyphla; Soricidae
Source: RefSeq, a predicted model, not a curated record
GUGCUUGCUUUGGCAACACAUAUAUUAAAAUUGGAACGAUAGAGAUUAACAUGGCCCCUGCGCAAGGAUGACGACAUGCAAAUUCAUGAAGCGUUCCAUAUUUUU